This is a long non-coding RNA of Poeciliopsis prolifica (blackstripe livebearer), 575 nucleotides long. RefSeq lists it as uncharacterized. The record is from RefSeq and is a predicted model, not a curated record. NCBI's taxonomy places the organism in Eukaryota, Metazoa, Chordata, Actinopteri, Cyprinodontiformes, Poeciliidae. The transcript has 3 exons.
AGCGUUGUUGCUCUGGGCAGCGUCCAGGCUAACUGUUGUUAGCAAAACAUUGUGUUUGUUUGCGUUGUGUUAAUUCAAAGUCCCAACAUGUUCAGGGACUGGAGUUGAAAAGCUGAGAGGAUCGCGGUGCUAAGGAGAUGCUAACAGUCCACGCUACAAGGCUGAAGCCUUUUGGGAAAUCUGCUGUCGGGUUUAUGGAAGUGCUUCUCCAAAUACACCUUUUCGGAUCGGUGAUUUGAAUUAUAGGGACGUUCAAAUUGUCUGCGUUGGCCUUGAAGUUAGACAUUCUUCCUUUCCCGGCGGGACUCGAACGCAUCAUGAAAGCUUUGAAGAGGGGCGGUGCUGUUGAGGGAACAGUACACGGAGUAUUACAUAACCACAUUUCCCCCAGCAGAGAACUGAGCAUUUAAAUCUAACUCGGCAGCAUGCAGGAAAGGAAGGAAGGAUAAAAGGAAACAAGGAAUGGAGGACAGGAUGGAGGAAAGAAGAAAGGAAGAAAAAAGAGAGAAGAAAUGAAAUGAGGGAAAAUGUAAAGGAGGGAUGGAUUGAGUAAAGGUGAAAGUUGGAGGGAGAGG